Molecule: ribosomal RNA, 497 nt
Filed under: uncultured bacterium
Lineage: Bacteria
Description: partial 16S ribosomal RNA
Rfam family: Bacterial small subunit ribosomal RNA
Source: RNAcentral
GAUGAACGCUGGCGGCGUGCCUAAUUCAUGCAAGUCGAGCGAACAGACGAGGAGCUUGCUCCUCUGACGUUAGCGGCGGACGGGUGAGUAACACGUGGAUAACCUACCUAUAAGACUGGGAUAACUUCGGGAAACCGGAGCUAAUACCGGAUAAUAUAUUGAACCGCAUGGUUCAAUAGUGAAAGACGGUUUUGCUGUCACUUAUAGAUGGAUCCGCGCCGCAUUAGCUAGUUGGUAAGGUAACGGCUUACCAAGGCAACGAUGCGUAGCCGACCUGAGAGGGUGCUCGGCCACACUGGAACUGAGACACGGUCCAGACUCCUACGGGAGGCAGCAGUAGGGAAUCUUCCGCAAUGGGCGAAAGCCUGACGGAGCAACGCCGCGUGAGUGAUGAAGGUCUUCGGAUCGUAAAACUCUGUUAUUAGGGAAGAACAAAUGUGUAAGUAACUAUGCACGUCUUGACGGUACCUAAUCAGAAAGCCACGGCUAACUACGUG